GACCUCGUCGUUUAACGGAUAGGACACUGGCCUGCGAAGCCGGAAAUCAAGGUUCAAUUCCUUGCGAGGUCACAA
Molecule: transfer RNA, 75 nt
Filed under: Candidatus Magasanikbacteria bacterium CG10_big_fil_rev_8_21_14_0_10_36_32
Lineage: Bacteria; Candidatus Magasanikiibacteriota
Description: tRNA-Arg
Rfam family: tRNA
About the family: Transfer RNA (tRNA) molecules are approximately 80 nucleotides in length.
Source: RNAcentral